CCACGUGAUUACGUUGUGCAGCUGAGUCACGUGACCGCACAGGAAAAACACAGCAGAGCUGGGUAAAGGGGGUGGAGCAAAGUGUGUGUGCAGGAGAGGAGUCGGGCAGAGAGAGCUUCCUUUUCGUGAAACGGGAGUAAAGUCGCAAACGUAAAGGAUCAUAUACAACUACCUACUUUUCAAUCGAUAUCUGCAUCGAUCUACUCACCGUUGUCUCCUGGAUUGUAGCUGAGAUCAGCGCGAACCACGUGUGUCUCAGCUUCCUGAUCUGUUAACUGUGUUUGGAAAGGCUUCUAGCUUAAUCACAGAGUUCUCUCGUUCGUGGGCUCAUCUAAAGGAGGAGAAGAGUGGUGGUGCAGCAGAGGAUCAAUUUCAGCAAUUUGGACUCAGCUCAGCCACUGCAGAGGAAACAAUGACUUCAACACAAAAGGACCAACAUGGAGCGAGAAGUCAGCGCCGCAGGGGAGGCCGACAAACGUCACAGAAGAAAGAGAGAAAACAUACAGCUGUGACGAGUGUGGGAAGGGUUUUACCUCGGCUCAAGGCCUAAAAACACACCAACUCAUCCACAGUGGAGUUAAACCUUACAGUUGUGAUGAGUGUGGCAAGGAUUUUAACCAGGCUGGCAACCUAAAAUCACACCAACUCACCCACAGUGGAGUUAAAGCAUACAGCUGUGAUGAGUGUGGAAGGUCUUUUGUCCAGGCUGGAAGCUUAAAGAAACACCAACUCAUCCACAGUGGAGUUAAACCUUACAGUUGUGACUUGUGUGGAGGGUCUUUUGUCCAGGCUGGAAGCUUAAAGAAACACCAACUCAUCCACAGUGGAGUUAAACCUUACAGUUGUGAUGAGUGUGGGAAGGAUUUUAGCCAGGCUAGCGGCCUAAAAUCACACCAACUCAUCCACAGUGGAGUUAAAGCAUACAGCUGUGAUGAGUGUGGAAGGUCUUUUGCCCGGGCUCGAGAAUUAAAACAACACCAUCUCAUCCACAGUGGAGUUAAACCUUACAGCUGUGACUUGUGUGGAAAGUCUUUUACCCGGUCUGGAGACUUAAAAAAUCACCAUGUCAUCCACAGUGGUUUUAAACCUUACAUCUGUGAUUUGUGUGGAAAGUGUUUUGCCUGGGCUAAAGGCUUAAAAAACCACCAACUCAUCCACAGUUGAGUUAAAGUGGACAGCUGUGAGUUAUAUGGAAUUUUUUUUGCCCAGGUUGGAGGCUUAAAAAUACACCAACUCAUCCACAGUGGAGUUAAAGCGUACAGCUGUGACUUGUGUGGAAAGUCUUUUACAUAUUGUGAGGGCUUAAAAAAACACCAACUCAUUCACAGCGUAGUUAAAGCACACUACUGUGAGUUGUGUGGUAAAGCUUUUGCUCAAAGUCGAAACUUACAGAAGCAUCUACUUACCCACUCUGGAAUUCAGUGACAAACAGUACCAAAAUAUUCACCUGCAGAUUCACACUGGAAAUGAUGUUUCCUGCUGUGAUCAGUGUGGGAAACUAUUUACAACAGAUGCACAGUUA
This is a long non-coding RNA of Oreochromis aureus, 1522 nucleotides long. RefSeq lists it as uncharacterized. Lineage: Eukaryota; Metazoa; Chordata; Actinopteri; Cichliformes; Cichlidae. The record is from RefSeq and is a predicted model, not a curated record. The transcript has 3 exons.